GAUAUACCAUGGCAUCAAGUUAAGACAACUAAGAAAGGAAUGUUGCAAAAUUUUGUAGAGGAACAAAUGCUAGACCUUAACUUUCAACUUCCUAAGGGUUUACUUGACGGGCCGUGGCUGAUGAUGUAUUUAGAAAAGUGAUUGGAAAAUACAAACAUGGUAGCGCUCACAUGUACAGGCUACGUGUUUGAGCUUCAGAUAUUUGGGGUGUCUUGCAAAGUCGCUCUCCCUGUUAUAGGGAGAACAUGCUAUGGAAAAGGGCAUAUAAAGCUGUUAGCAACGAAGUAGAUGAUUUGAAAGCUAUGAUAUUAGAGAUGCGAGGGUCGAAUGAAAAUACUUCUAGUGCUUCAAGUGUUCCUGUGACAUCAAUAGAUCGUCCUCAAGCAACCACCAAACUUCAACCUCUAAAGAAAAUGGAGCUUAAUGGGUUACAGAUAUAAAUUUCCCUGGUCUAAUUGCUCGAUGAAUGAUCCCAAUGGAGACAACCAGUGAUAUGCACCAAGUCUAACUUCUUCACUGUUUGUGCUGCUGGCUCCAUAUGCAUGAUUUGCCUCUGCAUCACAUCAUGAGUUAAACCUUGCAUCAAGGGUACCAGUCAUGCUUAAUCAUUCCAUGAAUCUUGUCUCAUCACACUUUCUCACCACUGUUCU
Long non-coding RNA from Cynara cardunculus var. scolymus (artichoke), 650 nucleotides. RefSeq lists it as uncharacterized. Lineage: Eukaryota; Viridiplantae; Streptophyta; Magnoliopsida; Asterales; Asteraceae. The record is from RefSeq and is a predicted model, not a curated record. The transcript is spliced from 3 exons.